RNAcentral lists this ribosomal RNA (275 nucleotides) under uncultured bacterium. RNAcentral describes it as "partial 16S ribosomal RNA". It matches the Rfam family "Archaeal small subunit ribosomal RNA", at positions 473 to 747 of the family's 1478-position model. The record is from RNAcentral.
ACACCAGCGCCACGAGUGGCAACCGCAUUUAUUGGGCCUAAAGCGUCCGUAGCCGGUUUGAUAAAUCUUUUGUGAAAUCAUGGGGCUUAACUCCAUGUCGUGCAGGAGACACUAUCAGACUUGGAACCGGGAGGAGUCUGAGGUAUUCUGGGGGGAGCGGUAAAAUGUUAUAAUCCCCGGAGGACCACCUGUGGCGAAGGCGUCAGACUAGAACGGAUUCGACGGUGAGGGACGAAAGCUGGGGGAGCAAACCGGAUUAGAAACCCGGGUAGUCC